Molecule: non-coding RNA, 685 nt
Organism: Macaca mulatta (Rhesus monkey)
Lineage: Eukaryota; Metazoa; Chordata; Mammalia; Primates; Cercopithecidae
Source: the annotation of a RefSeq genome assembly
UCAUAGUCACCAACCUCCUGCAAGGCACAGUCAUCCUAUCUGGGCCCGUCCUCUCCUCAGGCAUCCCACCCCAGAGCUUCCUAUAUAGUAGGAGACAUGCAAAUACCGUCCUCCCUCUGCUGAUGAAAACCAGCCCAGCCCCGACUCUGCAGCUCUGGGAGAGGAGCCCAGCCUGGGAUUCCCAGGAGUUUCCACUUGGUGACCAGCACUGAACACAGACCACCAACCAUGGAGUUGGGGCUGAGCUGGGUUUUCCUUGUUGCUCUUUUAAAAGGUGUCCAGUGUGAGGUGCAGCUGGUGGAGUCUGGGGGAGGCUUGGUCCAGCCUGGGGGGUCCCUGAGACUCUCCUGUGCAGCCUCUGGAUUCACCUUCAGUGACUACUACAUGUACUGGGUCCGCCAGGCUCCAGGAAAGGGGCUGGAGUGGGUGGGUUUCAUUAGAAGCAAAGCUUACGGUGGGACAGCAGAAUACGCCGCGUCUGUGAAAGGCAGAUUCACCAUCUCCAGAGAUGAUUCCAAAAGCAUCGCCUAUCUGCAAAUGAGCAGCCUGAAAACCGAGGACACGGCCGUGUAUUACUGUACUAGGGACACAGUGAGGCGAGGUCAGUGUGAGCCCAGACACAAACCUCCCUGCAGGGGCGCACGGGGCCACCAGGGGGCGCUCGGGACCCACUGAGGACGGGACA